This 420-nucleotide ribosomal RNA is filed under the name Hemiselmis sp. RCC659. RNAcentral describes it as "SSU rRNA". It matches the Rfam family "Eukaryotic small subunit ribosomal RNA", at positions 725 to 1157 of the family's 1831-position model. The record is from RNAcentral. Lineage: Eukaryota; Cryptophyceae; Cryptomonadales; Hemiselmidaceae.
ACUGUGGGGCGGCAGGUCGCAGGCCGUUUACUUUGAAAAAAUUAAGUGUUCAAGCAGGCCUACGCUUGAAUACAUUACAUGGAAUAAUGGAAUAGGACUUUGGUGCUAUUUUGUUGGUUUAUGGGACUGAAGUAAUGAUUAAUAGGGACAGUUGGGGCCGUUUAUAUUUCGUUGUCAGAGGUGAAAUUCUUGGAUUUACAAAGAUAAACUUCUGCGAAAGCAUUCGGCAAGGAUGUUUUCAUUGAUCAAGAACGAAAGUUAGGGGAUCGAAGACGAUCAGAUACCGUCGUAUCUUAACCAUAAACUAUGCCGACUAGGAUCAUGGAUGUCAAUUUGCGACUCCAUUGGACCUUGGAGAAAUCAAAGUUUUUGGGUUCCGGGGGGAGUAUGGUCGCAAGGCUGAAACUUUAAGGAAUUGAC